CNUGCAGUCGAGCGGUAGAGAGAAGCUUGCUUCUCUUGAGAGCGGCGGACGGGUGAGUAAUGCCUAGGAAUCUGCCUGGUAGUGGGGGAUAACGUUCGGAAACGGACGCUAAUACCGCAUACGUCCUACGGGAGAAAGCAGGGGACCUUCGGGCCUUGCGCUAUCAGAUGAGCCUAGGUCGGAUUAGCUAGUUGGUGAGGUAAUGGCUCACCAAGGCGACGAUCCGUAACUGGUCUGAGAGGAUGAUCAGUCACACUGGAACUGAGACACGGUCCAGACUCCUACGGGAGGCAGCAGUGGGGAAUAUUGGACAAUGGGCGAAAGCCUGAUCCAGCCAUGCCGCGUGUGUGAAGAAGGUCUUCGGAUUGUAAAGCACUUUAAGUUGGGAGGAAGGGUUGUAACCUAAUACGUUGCAAUUUUGACGUUACCGACAGAAUAAGCACCGGCUAACUCUGUGCCAGCAGCCGCGGUAAUACAGAGGGUGCAAGCGUUAAUCGGAAUUACUGGGCGUAAAGCGCGCGUAGGUGGUUCGUUAAGUUGGAUGUGAAAUCCCCGGGCUCAACCUGGGAACUGCAUUCAAAACUGUCGAGCUAGAGUAUGGUAGAGGGUGGUGGAAUUUCCUGUGUAGCGGUGAAAUGCGUAGAUAUAGGAAGGAACACCAGUGGCGAAGGCGACCACCUGGACUGAUACUGACACUGAGGUGCGAAAGCGUGGGGAGCAANCAGGAUUAGAUACCCUGGUAGUCCACGCCGUAANCGAUGUCAACUAGCCGUUGGGAGCCUUGAGCUCUUAGUGGCGCAGCUAACGCAUUAAGUUGACCGCCUGGGGAGUACGGCCGCAAGGUUAAAACUCAAAUGAAUUGACGGGGGCCCGCACAAGCGGUGGAGCAUGUGGUUUAAUUCGAAGCAACGCGAAGAACCUUACCAGGCCUUGACAUCCAAUGAACUUUCCNNANNUGGAUCGGUGCCUUCGGGAACAUUGAAANNGGUGCUGCAUGGCUGUCGUCAGCUCGNNUCG
Molecule: ribosomal RNA, 1017 nt
Filed under: Pseudomonas sp.
Lineage: Bacteria; Pseudomonadati; Pseudomonadota; Gammaproteobacteria; Pseudomonadales; Pseudomonadaceae
Description: bacterial SSU rRNA
Rfam family: Bacterial small subunit ribosomal RNA
Source: RNAcentral